GGGUCAGUAGGUUGGUCGUGCCACCGGUACGUACUGGUCUCGCUGAUUCCUCCUUCCUGAAGAACCGUAAUGCCAUUAAUUUGGUGUUGCGGGGAAACAGGACUGUUACUUUGAAAAAAUUAGAGUGUUUAAGGCAAGCUAACGCUUGAAUACAUUAGCACGGAAUAAUGAAAUAGGACGAUCGAUCCUAUUUUGUUGGUUUCUAGGAUUGACGUA
This 216-nucleotide ribosomal RNA is filed under the name Glomeromycotina sp. RNAcentral's name for it is "partial small subunit ribosomal RNA". The stretch from base 44 to 216 matches the Rfam family "Eukaryotic small subunit ribosomal RNA", at positions 690 to 864 of the family's 1831-position model. The record is from RNAcentral. Lineage: Eukaryota; Fungi; Glomeromycota.